CGGAACAAUUUUUACUUUAGUGGCGGACGGGUGAGUAACGCGUGGGUAACCUGCCUUAUACAGGGGGAUAACACUUAGAAAUAGGUGCUAAGACCGCAUAAGCGCCCAGGGCCGCAUGGCCCAGGGUGAAAAACUCCGGUGGUAUAAGAUGGGCCCGCGUCUGAUUAGCCAGUUGGCAGGGUAACGGCCUACCAAAGCGACGAUCAGUAGCCGGCCUGAGAGGGUGGACGGCCACAUUGGGACUGAGACACGGCCCAAACUCCUACGGAAGGCAGCAG
This 278-nucleotide ribosomal RNA is filed under the name uncultured bacterium. RNAcentral's name for it is "partial 16S ribosomal RNA". It matches the Rfam family "Bacterial small subunit ribosomal RNA", at positions 75 to 354 of the family's 1533-position model. The record is from RNAcentral.